This is a long non-coding RNA of Monodelphis domestica (gray short-tailed opossum), 1303 nucleotides long. RefSeq lists it as uncharacterized. The record is from RefSeq and is a predicted model, not a curated record. NCBI's taxonomy places the organism in Eukaryota, Metazoa, Chordata, Mammalia, Didelphimorphia, Didelphidae.
UUGCCUCUGAUUCCAACUAUUAGUACCCAGCUUGGUUAUUGAAAUAGUAGGUCCCACCGCCACUUCCCCUAUUCUUUAAGCUCCUAGGAAGUUUGUGUGUCUGUUUUUAUCUACUUUCGGCUCUAAAGGAGGAAGAGCUCUGGGGAGGAGCUUUGCACUUCCCUCUUCUACCUUUUUAUUGGCUGCUGGAUGACUUUUACAGUUUGUCACUGCUACAGGAAGAGAUAGCGAACUAAAGAGAAGCCUGGGAAAGCUACAUUAUUAAUGAAUGGAGCCGUUCCUUGGGAAGCAUCUUCCAUUUUUGAGAUUAUGAGUGUAAAACAAAUCGAAGUCUCCAUACUCAAAUUUGCGAGCAAAGUGUUACUAUACACUGGGGGAAAGGGAUCUGAAACACCAUAAGUAAUGGGGGGGAAAUUUUGGCGCUUUAAAAAUUAAAAUUCCUGCUUUAAAAUUUUUACUUGUGGCAACCUUAUGGUAGGGGUGGAGGGUUGAACCUAACUGGAGAAUACUCAUUGGAGGAAUUAUUUAGCCACAAGAAGAAAUUUCAACAGUAUCAUAAAAUCAUAAAUUUUAGGCCUGAAGGGGACCUUCAAAGCCAUUAGGUCUAGACCCCCUUUUUUUACAGAUGAGGAAAUUGAAUACUAGAGAAUCAACUUGUUCAAGAUGGCAGAGCCAAAUUAGCUUAAUAAAAUUUUAUCAGGAAACAAACUUCUAUCCAAAGGGUUUCCUUUAAUGUGUUAACAUACACAGUUUUAAAAAAUGUUUUCUGAUUAUUCUGAUCUCCAGAUGUGAUUUGUUGCUACCAUAAGCUUUUAGUUUACACAUUUUAAAAUGUAGCUGAAAUAAUGAUUAUACAAUAUGAAUCCGUGUUUGGAGGCAUCUGAGAGACCCCUCCCCAUGAAAGGAAGGCAUGUAUGCUGAAAGAAUACAUGGAACUACUCAGGUUCCCAGUGAAUAAAACUGUCUCCAAGGUGACUGACAGCUAAACAUCAUGUGGAGGAACUCUUAGACAUUCUUUUCACAGGCCAGAUAGAGUAUUGAGAUUGUACUUGAAACUUGAUUGGCCCUGGAGGACUGAAGGCUCAGACUGUUGACAUUUCUUCCUUGAUGCCAAAGUACAAAACAUACAAAGAACUCCAGACAUUUUUCUCAGAGACUUGAGAUGUGUAAAAUAAUGGGUCACUUCAAGCAAGGGAGCUUUCUUCAAAUGAAUCAAUCUGAAGUAUCCUCAAUGGCCUUUUUUUUUCGCUGAAUAUCCUCCUCCUGCUCUGUCUAACUAAAUCUCCUUUUGUUAACUGUUGAA